UUGAAUAAACCUGAUGUGGUUGUAGCUGGCCCUUUCGGGGGUAUGUGCACGCCCGUCAUCUUUAUCUUUCCACCUGUGCACUUUUUGUAGACCUGGAUGUAACAUUUUCCGAGGCAACUCGGUCGGGAGGACUGCUGUUAGCUUUCCUUGCAUAUCCAGGCCUAUGUUUUCACUUACCCCAAAGAAUGUAACAGAAUGUAUCAUUGGGCCUUGUGCCUAUAAACUAUAUA
Molecule: unclassified non-coding RNA, 230 nt
Filed under: uncultured Galerina
Lineage: Eukaryota; Fungi; Basidiomycota; Agaricomycetes; Agaricales; Cortinariaceae
Description: sequence contains ITS1
Source: RNAcentral